RNAcentral lists this ribosomal RNA (253 nucleotides) under uncultured bacterium. Its description in RNAcentral is "partial 16S ribosomal RNA". It matches the Rfam family "Bacterial small subunit ribosomal RNA", at positions 524 to 776 of the family's 1533-position model. The record is from RNAcentral.
UACAGAGGUCUCAAGCGUUGUUCGGAAUCAUUGGGCGUAAAGGGCGUGUAGGCGGCUUCGUGUGUCCCAUGUGAAAGCCCUCGGCUCAACCGGGGAACUGCAUGGGAAACUGCGGAGCUUGAGUCCGGGAGAGGUGAGUGGAAUUCCCAGUGUAGCGGUGAAAUGCGUAGAUAUUGGGAGGAACACCGGUGGCGAAGGCGGCUCACUGGACCGGUACUGACGCUGAGACGCGAAAGCCAGGGGAGCAAACGGG